RNAcentral lists this ribosomal RNA (319 nucleotides) under uncultured eukaryote. Its description in RNAcentral is "partial 18S ribosomal RNA". It matches the Rfam family "Eukaryotic small subunit ribosomal RNA", at positions 1470 to 1796 of the family's 1831-position model. The record is from RNAcentral.
CCCUUAGAUGUUCUGGGCAGCACGCGCGCUACAAUGGUCUUCGCAAACGGAUGCAUUCUCGAAGGAGAAUGCCAAUCUUGGAAUCUAUGCCUUGGUCGGGACAGUUGCUUGCAAUUUUUCGACUCGAACCAGGAAUUCCUUGUAAUCGUGAUUCAUCACAUCACGAUGAAUACGUCCCUGCCCUUUGUACACACCGCCCGUCGCUCCUACCGAUCGAAGAGUUAGGUGAAUUGUUUUGAUCGAUAAGAUUUGACUAUGGUCAACUCUCGUUGUGAAAUUCUGUGAAUCUGACUGUUUAGAGGAAGGAAAAGUCGCAACA